CGGGAUUUCGCGUUCGCGUCCGCGUUCGCCUCCCAUACUUUAUUGUGCUACUUCUGCACCGUCUCAGUUAGAGCCCCUCUUUUCUGAAUUUGAAUUCUGAAACUCUGAAUCUUAGAAUCAAUGACCAUUGCGAUUCCAAAUCUGGUAGGCCUGAAUAAUCUCAACCCUAAAGUACGACAACUCCGUACCAUGACUCUGCAAACAAAUUUCAAACUUCCUCUUGUUGUUCUUCUUCAUCCUCAUCAUGAUGUUAAGCGGACUAGCGCGUGGUCGUCUUACAGAAGAACGAAAAGCCUGGCGCAAGAACCAUCCCCAUGGUUUUUGUGGCCUAGCCAAAAACAGCGGAAUAUGGCUCUCCUAAUUUGUUGGUGUGGCACUGUAUCAUUCCCGGAAAGCUUGGGGUUAUUCGGGUCAACUUGUGCGGACCUCGACUAAUUCCUGUAGGUGACUAAUACAUCAUCUCACUGCUAUGAUCACCUGUUUAAAUCUUGGGAGCCAGGGGGAUUCGAACAUGAGUGCGCCUUAACCACACAUCUUAGCGCUCGUCCUACCACUUGAGCUACCCAAGGACUUCAUGGGAAGGUGGCUGCUUUCGAGUUACUUUGAACUUCAGUGAACACUACCGUAGGCUACCCCCAAUAUGCAAGUUUCCAGAAGGUUUCUUCCACCAUAAUGUCGACCCUUUUGGCAAUAUAUGUGCAUCAUUUCUUGACAUCGAGAUUUUAAGCUCUUCUUUAUGCUAUGUAAUGUACUUGUAAAUCAUGUCUAUAGCAUUGACUACAUUUAUAGUUUAUUAACAUGGUGGCUUUCUCUGGGGGUGGACUCCAUCCAUAACUAUGAAGGAAAUUUUGUAGAGCUUUCAGAUUUAUUGGUUCAAGCUGAUCUUGGUUAUCCUACAGGAACUGAUUCCUUUCAGCUCUACAUCAAGGUUGAAGCAAGAUUUAACUAAGAAACUGAAGCAGGAUUCAGAGUGUUCAAAACAGAUCAUCUAUUGUUGGAGAAAAUAAGGGAGAUCAUAGGAAAGUAGCUGUCCAAACUGGUUCACAGUUGCAAGGGGCAUGGCGUCGUCAGCAAAAUUUGUGAUGAUAUUCUGGUGAGCACAAUCUGCAUGACUGAUUGCAUCUGUAUUGGCACAAGGGUACAAUCGAAACUCUUCGUUUUCAUACUCAGCAAGCAUUCUCAGAUGCACCCUGGUUAAAAUCAAUUUCAGGGUUGGAAAGAGAUUUGGUGAUAGCCCCAGAUUCAGCUUCCUGGUUAAUGUGGUUAAUUUCAUCACCACUCACACAAUUCCCAUCAGGAUAGAAAACAUUAGAAAUUGAAGCAUUGUUGAUUCCAACAUUAGCAUUGCCAUUGUAAAAACUGUUGUUUCCAAUUUCCCCAGUAUAAUUACCAUUGAAAACAGAGUUGGUAAUGGUACUUAAUUUGCCCUCCUGCACAUUGGUAUCAGCAUUCAUCAGAAUCUCAUCAAGAUGGGAAAAUUCAGAAGCCAAAGCAGAGCUAAUUCCAUUGCUAAAAUCGAUUUUGUCAACAAGAUUGUUCCCAAAAUUUGUAGUAGCAUCAGAAGUAAAACCUGAAGCAAAGACCUUUGAACACAAGUAGUAACUCAACCUCAUCAAAGCACUGUUUUUCAAACUUCCCAUCUUUUCUUGAACAACAAGCAACUCAUCAAUGGACUCAAAACUCUUUUCCAAGUCUUCAAAAUCCUUCAAGAACCCAUCAAUUUUCUCUCUAGUCCCAGGUUCUUUCUCAAAUGCCUUGAUUUCAUUAUAAACAGAAAGAGAUGACCUUAUAAUUUCAUUAUCCACCGGCUCAGGAACACGAUUGCGAAGAAAAGCAUCAAAUACUGAAUCAACAGAAGGGUGUCCAAAAGAGAACAUGCUUUCUUUUGAACAAGGCGAAGAAAACACCAUGGCAAUUUGAGCUCCAGAAAGCAUGCACGAUUCUGCAGCUUUGCUGAACAACCCAUAACGCCUUUUUGAGAAACUAACAGCCCUUUGACUCUAGUUUCACGUUUUUGCAUAGGAAUUUUUCUGCUUGCUUUCAUGGUUUAGCUACUAAAUUCUGUUAACAAGUACUCAAGAGUUUUGUUAAAGCUAGUGCUUAUAUAAGGUUGAUUCAUGGGUCUGAAUCCUUCUGUUUAUAGGAAGUUGUUAAUGGAGUUCAAAUUUUAGGUCAUUAAUGGGGAGAAUCUAGUUCAUUAACAAAUCAAUAUGGGAAGUUUUGGGUAUCUGGAAAUAUUCGAAGCAAUUAAUUCAUGGAGUUGAAUUGGGGAGUUUAUUGGAAUUUUACGUUUCAUAU
Pistacia vera is the source of this 2298-nucleotide RNA transcript. RefSeq lists it as uncharacterized. The transcript has 5 exons. The record is from RefSeq and is a predicted model, not a curated record. NCBI's taxonomy places the organism in Eukaryota, Viridiplantae, Streptophyta, Magnoliopsida, Sapindales, Anacardiaceae.